GGUUACGCAUCUGGACUCUCUUCCAAUGGGAAGACCGGAUCAGAACAGUCAGUUAGCAAAGAAUGUGCAAUUCUAAACUCAUCUGGAGCACUUGUGUUGAUGUGUAAUGUGAGUUAAACUUACAUUGAAAGUAAAAGUAUAUAUUGAGAAACAUGAAUGUGAAAUGGCCAAUAUACAACAGAUUUUGAGUGAAGAUGUGUCAAUCUCAUUUUUGGGGUUUCUCUUGGUGGAACAUUAGCAUAUGUUUUCAUUGUAUGGCAUAAAUUAUGUCCUAAAGUAGUGCUUAUGCUACAAUCAAAAUGCAUGAAAAUAAUAACCUAGCGAACAAAGCCAACAUUGUAAGACAACAAAUAAACAUAUAACUAUCAAUUGAUAAAAUUGAACAAACAAGUGUCAGAUUACAAAUUUUCAGCACCUGCACUGCAGUAUCAGACAGGGAUAACUGUAAAAAUUUAUUCUCAUCAUCCACAUAAUUGCUUAAUUCAUAAAAAUAAAUUUAUUACUCAAAAACAGUUAACAAAGACCAGUUGUUGAAAAUGAAUUUUAGUAGCCUCAGACCGUCCUAGUUCAAAGUUUUCAACAAAUGCAAUAUCUUGCAUUUCUGAACCAUAUACAAAGUAUGCAUCAUAGACUACAUUGUAACAGAAAUAAUAAAUUUACAUUAUUAAAAAUACAAUUGCAGAAACAUUUGAAGAAAAAUAUUAAAAAAAAUAAUACGAAAUGGGUGUACAAAAUUAAUGUUUCAAGGCAUCAGAUCUUCCUAUUCAAAUAAAAUAUUCACAGAACUCAAAUCAGUGUUUAAGUCUCAAUGAUUUGAAAGAUUCAUCAUUUGGCCAAUUAAAAUAAAAAAUAAAAAACACAAAUGAUUAAAUGUAAUAAUACUGCUCAGAAAGUAGCAAAUUAUAUCACAAUAAAACUUCAUAUGUCCAGACAUAAUUGGUGCAACAUCAUCAUAGCAGUAUCAAUACAAUUUCACUAAAACAUUUCAAAACACAGAAUGAAUCAUAUAGAAAUAAAAUUCAUAACUGAAUUGAAUUGAAUCUCAGACAUUCCAAAGUUGGAAAUGGCAGACAAUCAACAUGGCAUCAUUUCAGUCCGCCCGUCUGCUUUUCAACAUCAUUGAUC
RNAcentral lists this long non-coding RNA (1125 nucleotides) under Medicago truncatula (barrel medic). RNAcentral describes it as "lncRNA gene905". The record is from RNAcentral. Lineage: Eukaryota; Viridiplantae; Streptophyta; Magnoliopsida; Fabales; Fabaceae.